GACGAACCGUCCGAACGUUAUUCGGAAUCACUGGGCUUAAAGAGUGCGUAGGCGGCUUAUCAGGCGGGGUGUGAAAUCCCUCGGCCCAACCGAGGAAUUGCGCUCCGAACCGAUAGGCUUGAGGAGGAUAGAGGUAAGCGGAACAGAUGGUGGAGCGGUGAAAUGCGUUGAUAGUCAUCUGGAACACCUGUGGCGAAAGCGG
RNAcentral lists this ribosomal RNA (202 nucleotides) under uncultured bacterium. RNAcentral's name for it is "partial 16S ribosomal RNA". It matches the Rfam family "Bacterial small subunit ribosomal RNA", at positions 524 to 724 of the family's 1533-position model. The record is from RNAcentral.